Octopus sinensis (East Asian common octopus) is the source of this 459-nucleotide long non-coding RNA. RefSeq lists it as uncharacterized. NCBI's taxonomy places the organism in Eukaryota, Metazoa, Mollusca, Cephalopoda, Octopoda, Octopodidae. The record is from RefSeq and is a predicted model, not a curated record. The transcript has 2 exons.
UAGAGAAGUCAAAAAAUUACAAAAACUAUGCAAAGUUGAAGGUGGAACUAGAAAGAAUGUGGGACACCAUCAUUAAAGUUAUUCCUGUAGUGGUAGGAGCAGUGGGGUCCAUCCAAAAGAAUCUGCCACAAUUCCUUGAUCAACUUAAAAUCAAAUAUGAUAUUGACACCAUAAAAAAAAAAAAAACACUGCCUUAUUAAGCACUGCUUAUAUCCUCCAAAAAGUUCUUUGUCUCAAAAAAACAAAAAAAAAAAACAUGAUGAUGAUGAUGAUUAUGAUGUGUGGUAGUAAAUCUUAGGAUACUAAAUGAUAAGAGAAAAGCAAAUCUGUUAAACCCAUAAUCUCUAAUAUUAAUACAAAGAGGAAAACAGCAAAAUUAAAUGAACCUUUUUUUAAAAAAUAUUUGAGAGAUUUCAACUGAAAUAACAAAAUGAACUUAAAAUAAAACACACACACACA